Molecule: ribosomal RNA, 241 nt
Filed under: uncultured bacterium
Lineage: Bacteria
Description: partial 16S ribosomal RNA
Rfam family: Bacterial small subunit ribosomal RNA
Source: RNAcentral
GUAUCCUGGCUCAGAUUGAACGCUGGCGGCAUGCUUUACACAUGCAAGUCGAACGGCAGCAUAGAGAGCUUGCUCUCUGAUGGCGAGUGGCGAACGGGUGAGUAAUACAUCGGAACGUGUCCGUUUGUGGGGGACAACCACCCGAAAGGGUGGCUAAUACCGCAUAAGACCUGAGGGUGAAAGCCGGGACCGCGAAGGCCUGGCGCGAACGGAGCGGCCGAUGACUGAUUAGCUGGUUGGG